RNAcentral lists this long non-coding RNA (1378 nucleotides) under Bemisia tabaci. Its description in RNAcentral is "lncRNA ENSSSA3NGG004731". Lineage: Eukaryota; Metazoa; Arthropoda; Insecta; Hemiptera; Aleyrodidae. The record is from RNAcentral.
AUGACUCGAGGAGAAUUUGAUUUGAUUUUGAAUCACAUCAAAGCUGAUCUGGUCACGACGGCGACGAACAAGCACCCGAAGCCAAUUUCUCCCGAGGAGAAGUUUGCGCUGACUUUGAGCUCUUCUGGUGGUGGUGAACGGAGAGAGGCAAUUAUGUUAUCCCGCUCUUUGUCACCUUUUUUAAUCUCUAAUAAGAUUUGCUCAGCGACAGUGAGCUUUUUCUUUUUCUUCUGACCUGGGGCUGGCAGAACUGUGUUGCUCUUGCUUGUAGUACCUGACGAUGGUGGUGGUGUUGAGUUUUGCUCGUUCUUAUCGUUGGACAGAUUCGCCGAGUUUCCUGUACCAUCGCCACCCUCGCCCGCGGGCUCAUCUGGGUCCUCUUCAUCAGUAUCUGCAAGGCUGAGGUCAUUAUUACUGCUAACUUCCUCCCUCUCUAUAUGUUGCGUCGCAUUCUUUUCAACUGGAGGGUCGAAGUUUGUGUCAUAGUCUUCUUCAGUGACGCAUGACCUGUCGUUUGAUAACGUGCUGAAAAUAGAAAUUUAGAAAAUAAUUAAAAUCUACGAACCAAAUAGGCUGUUCAUGAAUUACGCACAGCACUUAAAAGGGAGAGAUGGUCACAAGGUUUUGCCCUCUUUAAAAUGUCUGGAAGGAAGGAGAUAGCGGAUAUUACGUGGAGAUAGAGGGUGUGAAAAAGUAGGGAAAUUACCUCAAGAGCUUGGAGGUUAGGACCUGGGUGGCUGCUACAACGUUAUAAGUUUUUCAGAAGUUUUUAUGUAUCCGGUUCGGAGGACCAUGAAGAACACCAAUAAAAAUAAACUCACUUUGAAGAAAGGAUAAAGGUUCUUUUUUUCUUUCAGGAAGAUAAGGGUUUACAAGAAAUCUCAAAAAACAGGGAUUAGGACAGAACGAAACUUUUUCUCUGCAUCUUCGACUGCAAAAACUAAACCAAAUCUAUUCAUACACAACCAUGGCAACCCCUCCUACCGUGGCCCAGACCGUUCCAGCUGAUAAGUCUUAAUGGCGGGAACAAGGACCGAUGAAAGUUCUAUUCAGGUUGACAAAUCGGGUGCGAAUAUCAUCUCUUGAAGCCUUGACGUUAAAUGGGAUGAGGCGCGCAAAGGAACCUUUGUACUCAAUCUCUACGAUCUUCCGUCGAAAAAAAACACUAUUCAACGCCACUAAACACUUCAAUCAGUAGCGGAAACAUAUUCAUGAGUUUCCAAAAUCAUGUUUUUAUUGUCCCAGUUGUUGUAGGGCAUCUUCACGGUCUUUAAUUACGUAAGCCACGAAAUGACAAAAAGUAGUCUCGGGAUUCCGACUACGCUUUUCCACGUGAUAGAUAUCGAACAGAUGCGCAAUGACUUCAGUUGGUAAUUCG